RNAcentral lists this ribosomal RNA (669 nucleotides) under uncultured bacterium. Its description in RNAcentral is "bacterial SSU rRNA". It matches the Rfam family "Bacterial small subunit ribosomal RNA", at positions 8 to 694 of the family's 1533-position model. The record is from RNAcentral.
AGAGUUUGAUCCUGGCUCAGGACGAACGCUGGCGGCGUGCUUAACACAUGCAAGUCGAACGGAAAGGCCCUUCGGGGUACUCGAGUGGCGAACGGGUGAGUAACACGUGGGUGAUCUGCCCUGCACUUUGGGAUAAGCCUGGGAAACUGGGUCUAAUACCGAAUAUGACCAUGCACUUCCUGGUGUGUGGUGGAAAGCUUUUGCGGUGUGGGAUGGGCCCGCGGCCUAUCAGCUUGUUGGUGGGGUAAUGGCCUACCAAGGCGACGACGGGUAGCCGGCCUGAGAGGGUGACCGGCCACACUGGGACUGAGAUACGGCCCAGACUCCUACGGGAGGCAGCAGUGGGGAAUAUUGCACAAUGGGCGCAAGCCUGAUGCAGCGACGCCGCGUGAGGGAUGACGGCCUUCGGGUUGUAAACCUCUUUCAGCACAGACGAAGCGCAAGUGACGGUAUGUGCAGAAGAAGGACCGGCCAACUACGUGCCAGCAGCCGCGGUAAUACGUAGGGUCCGAGCGUUGUCCGGAAUUACUGGGCGUAAAGAGCUCGUAGGUGGUUUGUCGCGUUGUUCGUGAAAACUCACAGCUUAACUGUGGGCGUGCGAGCGAUACGGGCAGACUUGAGUACUGCAGGGGAGACUGGAAUUCCUGGUGUAGCGGUGAAAUGCGUAGA